GAUGAACGCUGACAGAAUGCUUAACACAUGCAAGUCGAGCGAGUGGCGGACGGGUGAGUAAUGUCUGGGAAACUGCCUGAUGGAGGGGGAUAACUACUGGAAACGGUAGCUAAUACCGCAUACCAUCGGAUGUGCCCAGAUGGGAUUAGCUAGUAGGUGGGGUAACGGCUCACCUAGGCGACGAUCCCUAGCUGGUCUGAGAGGAUGACCAGCCACACUGGAACUGAGACACGGUCCAGACUCCUACGGGAGGCAGCAGUGGGGAAUAUUGCACAAUGGGCGCAAGCCUGAUGCAGCCAUGCCGCGUGUAUGAAGAAGGCCUUCGGGUUGUAAACUCCUUUCGACAGGGACGCGGUACCUGUAUAAGAAGCACCGGCUAACUACGUGCCAGCAGCCGCGGUAAUUC
This 406-nucleotide ribosomal RNA is filed under the name uncultured bacterium. RNAcentral's name for it is "partial 16S ribosomal RNA". It matches the Rfam family "Bacterial small subunit ribosomal RNA", at positions 28 to 526 of the family's 1533-position model. The record is from RNAcentral.